GGGAACUCCAAAGUAGCGGUACCCGAGGCAGCAGGAUCCACCCUAAUCCCAGAGCCGCCCUAUUCCUGGAGCAGGGUAACCUUUCAACCAUUCCCUCUGGCAAAAUGCCAGGCCUCAUUCCGACUUAACUGUGGCUCUCAACAUCUCCCCUUUUCUGUUUAAUUAAACAACAAGCAUGUGGCUUAGGGACCGUGCCUGUCUUAGGUUGUCCAAUACUACAUAUGGUUCUUACCCGUCAUUGGCUACCAGUCCAGCAUACAGCCAUACUUGUGGAUAGGCCUUUGCACCAGUGGGGGGUAGAGGUUCUUUGCCUCACCUCUGUUGGCCCCCAAAUUUUAGACCAUCACAAGCAGAAGGGAGGAAGAUGCAAAAUGCCACAGCACCAAGCCAAAUGAUGGCUCUUUUUGGAAAAAUUGUACCACCGAUGACACCAUCAGCAAAGAGACCCCCAGCACUACCACAAUUCGCUGCACCAACAGAUAGUUCCCAAUGCAUGCAAGUGAUACAUAGUCCAGGCAAGUUCUGCAAACAGUUCAAAGCAG
This 542-nucleotide long non-coding RNA is filed under the name Marmota monax (woodchuck). Lineage: Eukaryota; Metazoa; Chordata; Mammalia; Rodentia; Sciuridae. The record is from RNAcentral.